AGAAUAUAAUAAAUCGUCUCUUAACUUUUAACUAAAAAUACUAAGAACCGGCUCUUAAAUAUUUAAGAACCGGUUCUUAGUAUUUUUAGUUAAAAGUUAAGAGGCGGUUUAUAUUCC
This is a non-coding RNA of Brassica napus (rape), 117 nucleotides long. NCBI's taxonomy places the organism in Eukaryota, Viridiplantae, Streptophyta, Magnoliopsida, Brassicales, Brassicaceae. The record is from Rfam.